Molecule: long non-coding RNA, 447 nt
Filed under: Bos taurus (domestic cattle)
Lineage: Eukaryota; Metazoa; Chordata; Mammalia; Artiodactyla; Bovidae
Description: long non-coding RNA NONBTAT018165
Source: RNAcentral
GGACGCUGAGGGUUUGGAACAAAAUAUAAUUAUAAUUAAAGGUUCUGAAGGGCCGAUUAUAUACUUAGCAGUUCACCUGAACUAUCCUCAGGACCCUAUGAUGUUGAAGUGAUCAAACUGAAUAAACAUGGAAUAAACCAACGUUGACCAGCACAGGAAGCCUGCGUUCCUCUCCUCCCCUCACCCCUCCUUACUUAAUUCUCUUUACAAUCCCGAGUGGUUCAGCCUUUUGUUUUGCAAAUGAAGAAUCUAGAUUGUAAUGGAAUGGGCCCUGAGGGAUACGAUUCUGAAAGUUUCCAAAUACUUUCUCCCUCUCACCCACUCCGCCUCUGUUUCAGGCUAGAAAAAGUUUUCAGUAACAGUUAAACAUGUUAGAAAACAGCAUGGAAUCUACAGCCAAGUGCUACUUAUGAGCAAUAAUUGCUUUUUACCUUUGAUAAAUACAGA